Molecule: ribosomal RNA, 479 nt
Filed under: Rotylenchulus reniformis
Lineage: Eukaryota; Metazoa; Nematoda; Chromadorea; Rhabditida; Hoplolaimidae
Description: SSU rRNA
Rfam family: Eukaryotic small subunit ribosomal RNA
Source: RNAcentral
UAACGAGCGAGACUCUGGCCUACUAAAUAGUUGGCACAUUGCCACUGUGUGCACAACUUCUUAGAGGGAUUUUCGGUGUUCAGCCGCACGAAAUUGAGCAAUAACAGGUCUGUGAUGCCCUUAGAUGUCCGGGGCUGCACGCGCGCUACACUGGCAAAAUCAGCGUGCUUGUCCUCCCCCGAAAGGGGUUGGUAAACCGAUGAAAAUUUGCCGUGAUUGGGAUCGGACAUUGCAAUUAUUGUCCGUGAACGAGGAAUCCCUUGUAAGGGCGAGUCAUCAACUCGUCCUGAAUACGUCCCUGCCCUUUGUACACACCGCCCGUCGCUGCCCGGGACUGAGCCAUUUCGAGAAAACCGGGGAUUGUUGGCCUGACGGCUCUCGGGUCGUCUAGCCGAUGAGAACCGGCUUAAUCGCACUGGUUUGAACCGGGCAAAGGUCGUAACAAGGUAGCUGUAGGUGAACCUGCUGCUGGAUCAUUA